GACGAACGCUGGCGGCGUGCCUAAUACAUGCAAGUCGAGCGGACAGAAGGGAGCUUGCUCCCGGAUGUUAGCGGCGGACGGGUGAGUAACACGUGGGUAACCUGCCUGUAAGACUGGGAUAACUCCGGGAAACCGGAGCUAAUACCGGAUAGUUCCUUGAACCGCAUGGUUCAAGGAUGAAAGACGGUUUCGGCUGUCACUUACAGAUGGACCCGCGGCGCAUUAGCUAGUUGGUGGGGUAAUGGCUCACCAAGGCGACGAUGCGUAGCCGACCUGAGAGGGUGAUCGGCCACACUGGGACUGAGACACGGCCCAGACUCCUACGGGAGGCAGCAGUAGGGAAUCUUCCGCAAUGGACGAAAGUCUGACGGAGCAACGCCGCGUGAGUGAUGAAGGUUUUCGGAUCGUAAAGCUCUGUUGUUAGGGAAGAACAAGUGCGAGAGUAACUGCUCGCACCUUGACGGUACCUAACCAGAAAGCCACGGCUAACUACGUGCCAGCAGCCGCGGUAAUACGUAGGUGGCAAGCGUUGUCCGGAAUUAUUGGGCGUAAAGGGCUCGCAGGCGGUUUCUUAAGUCUGAUGUGAAAGCCCCCGGCUCAACCGGGGAGGGUCAUUGGAAACUGGGAAACUUGAGUGCAGAAGAGGAGAGUGGAAUUCCACGUGUAGCGGUGAAAUGCGUAGAGAUGUGGAGGAACACCAGUGGCGAAGGCGACUCUCUGGUCUGUAACUGACGCUGAGGAGCGAAAGCGUGGGGAGCGAACAGGAUUAGAUACCCUGGUAGUCCACGCCGUAAACGAUGAGUGCUAAGUGUUAGGGGGUUUCCGCCCCUUAGUGCUGCAGCUAACGCAUUAAGCACUCCGCCUGGGGAGUACGGUCGCAAGACUGAAACUCAAAGGAAUUGACGGGGGCCCGCACAAGCGGUGGAGCAUGUGGUUUAAUUYGAAGCAACGCGAAGAACCUUACCAGGUCUUGACAUCCUCUGACAACCCUAGAGAUAGGGCUUUCCCUUCGGGGACAGAGUGACAGGUGGUGCAUGGUUGUCGUCAGCUCGUGUCGUGAGAUGUUGGGUUAAGUCCCGCAACGAGCGCAACCCUUGAUYUUAGUUGCCAGCAUUCAGUUGGGCACUCUAAGGUGACUGCCGGUGACAAACCGGAGGAAGGUGGGGAUGACGUCAAAUCAUCAUGCCCCUUAUGACCUGGGCUACACACGUGCUACAAUGGACAGAACAAAGGGCUGCAAGACCGCAAGGUUUAGCCAAUCCCAUAAAUCUGUUCUCAGUUCGGAUCGCAGUCUGCAACUCGACUGCGUGAAGCUGGAAUCGCUAGUAAUCGCGGAUCAGCAUGCCGCGGUGAAUACGUUCCCGGGCCUUGUACACACCGCCCGUCACACCACGAGAGUUUGCAACACCCGAAGUCGGUGAGGUAACCUUUAUGGAGCCAGCCGCCGAAGGUGGGGCAGAUGAUUGGGGUGAAGUCGUAACAAGGUAGCCGUAUCGGAAGG
RNAcentral lists this ribosomal RNA (1501 nucleotides) under Bacillus pumilus. RNAcentral describes it as "bacterial SSU rRNA". It matches the Rfam family "Bacterial small subunit ribosomal RNA". The record is from RNAcentral. Lineage: Bacteria; Bacillati; Bacillota; Bacilli; Caryophanales; Bacillaceae.